GCCGGCGUAGCUUAGCCCGGUAGAGCGGCUGACUUGUAAUCAGCAGGUCAAGGGUUCAAAUCCCUUCGCCGGCU
RNAcentral lists this transfer RNA (74 nucleotides) under Thermoplasmata archaeon. RNAcentral describes it as "tRNA-Thr". It matches the Rfam family "tRNA". From Rfam's summary of the family: Transfer RNA (tRNA) molecules are approximately 80 nucleotides in length. Their secondary structure includes four short double-helical elements and three loops (D, anti-codon, and T loops). RNAcentral also lists the same sequence under 3 other names. Lineage: Archaea; Methanobacteriati; Thermoplasmatota; Thermoplasmata. The record is from RNAcentral.